Molecule: ribosomal RNA, 462 nt
Filed under: Triticum aestivum (bread wheat)
Lineage: Eukaryota; Viridiplantae; Streptophyta; Magnoliopsida; Poales; Poaceae
Description: partial small subunit ribosomal RNA
Source: RNAcentral
AUGUGUAGACCUUAUGGAAAGUUCUACCUAGGAGAUGUUGGCUAUGCAUGUCGGCCAGGUGUUCAUCCACCCUUUAGGAAAACCAGGUACCAUCUGAACGAGUUAUCUAGUAGAAACUAUCCCAGGACUCCUCAAGAACUGCUCAAUCUCAGACACUCCAGCCUUGGAGUAACGGUUGAGAGGGCAUUUGGAUCUCUGAAUAAUAGGUUUAAGAUCCUAGAUCAGAAGCCAUUCCACCCUUACUAUACCCAGGUUAAGUUUGUUCUUGCAUGUGCCAUCCUUCACAACUGGAUCCUACAAUGAGGUUGUGACGAACUUGUGCCGGAUGAGGGAGAUGUGGGGCCUGAUGAUGUGGUCGACUCCGGCCAUGGUGUGGAGGCGUUUAGCAAUGAAGUGUGGAAGAACAAAAGGUUAGAGUGGGCUCAUGAUAUUUGGGAUAACAGAGGUCAUACAAGAAUCUGA